Molecule: long non-coding RNA, 599 nt
Filed under: Danio rerio (zebrafish)
Lineage: Eukaryota; Metazoa; Chordata; Actinopteri; Cypriniformes; Danionidae
Description: si:ch211-229d2.7 (ENSDARG00000097273.2)
Source: RNAcentral
AUCUGGCCUGCUCCUCCUCCAGCGCUGCCUGCUUUUCUCUUUCAUCCACUUUGGUGAACGACAUGCCAGUGUUGGCCAGAGAUGACACAGCAUUGGAGAGUGUGCUCGCCCUACAAAAAAAUUCAGGGAGAGAUAUAUUGGGCUUCUCAAAAUGCAUCCUUUAGAAGUCAAUCAAUUGUAUUCAGUUGUGAGCGAGACGCAUGAAUGGCCCACCUGCUGGCGGCGGUGGAGUCCUUCACCUUCUUUCCUUCUAAUGAAGCCAAGUGUUGCUCCAGGGCAUCCAAAAGACUGCUGGGGGCCUGAGAGGAACCACAAACAUUUACUUAACCCCGACCAAUUCCAAAAAACAGUAAGCAUGUCAACUUAUAUUUGAAAUAAGAGUUAAAACAGUGCAGAGGAGUGCAGAAAAGAGUGAGAAAAGUACUUACACAGACUGUAAACUGAAGGUGGACAGAAGGUGGAAAGAUAAAGGGAAAUACAGAAUAUAAAGGUGGUUUUGGUCAGACAUAUAAUGCUUAAAGCGAGUAAAAAGCAGCUAUUUGCUAUGAUGUAUGGGUGUGAUAGUAUCAUUUGUGCUGAAUAUAUAAGCUUAACAUUUG